GCCGACUACCGGCGCCGUGUCCCGUCAUUUGUGUGGCUGAUGUUACUGUUGCCUUUAAGUGCUUGCGUGCUGGUACCCGACCUACGGGAAUUGGUCCAUCAUACACGGUUGCCUCGCGGUGGACGCCUUCGGGUGUGCUGCUGCGGCCAAAUGGCGCUUGCGGCGUUGCCUCGUGGUGCUGGCACGUUUUCGUGCCCGGUGCUAUCAAGGCAGCCUCGCUCCCGCUGUUGGUUUCGGAUGUCGCUCACGAUAAAAGAUCAUGGCCCUUUUGGUUGCCUUGACCUGACCCUAAAUAUGCCUUCCUCGUUGAGAACAACCGUUAGCUGUUGCCUCAACUCGUAGGUGGAUAUUGGCCCGCUCAAUUGCGACAACCGGCCCGGCGGUUGCCUCUGCCUUUCCACGCAAGUGGACGGGCGAAUGACUGCCGGCGCUGGAGUCAAAGAGG
This 445-nucleotide unclassified non-coding RNA is filed under the name Calamagrostis canescens. RNAcentral describes it as "contains 3' external transcribed spacer, ETS". The record is from RNAcentral. Lineage: Eukaryota; Viridiplantae; Streptophyta; Magnoliopsida; Poales; Poaceae.